UUAUAUAAUUGGAGUACUAAGUGAUUGAAUUAUAUGAGUAGUUAUUAGAAGAUUACGAUUGUUGUUUAUUGAGAGUUGUGUGUGUUUCGACAGAGGAAGUCUGUGAUUACAGAAAUUAUGUGAAUUCAGAUUGGUUGGAGUGAAGUCUGUUAUUUCUAGUGUUGGAUGGAAAUUAUGUAUUUUGAGCAGUCUUUUGAGAAUGCAAUGUUGCACACUAUUGUUAUCAGUUGAUGAAGGAAUAUUGUUACUUGGAAAAAGCAUUGUAGUAUUUUUUGGUAUUUUAGUGGUUUAGAAUAUGGU
RNAcentral lists this long non-coding RNA (300 nucleotides) under Physcomitrium patens. Its description in RNAcentral is "long non-coding RNA (PPAT_LNC000946)". The record is from RNAcentral. Lineage: Eukaryota; Viridiplantae; Streptophyta; Bryopsida; Funariales; Funariaceae.